RNAcentral lists this long non-coding RNA (2460 nucleotides) under Strigops habroptila (Kakapo). Its description in RNAcentral is "lncRNA (ENSSHBG00005000927.1)". The record is from RNAcentral. Lineage: Eukaryota; Metazoa; Chordata; Aves; Psittaciformes; Psittacidae.
UUUUUUUUUUUUUUAAUUAGAAAUCUAAAAUCAAGUACCCUAAAGCAGAACUUCUUUGUAACUGAGAGUUACUUUGCAGAAUUUAGUCUAGGUUGUUUGCCAUAUCUAUUCAUUAGCCUGUCUACCCUGACAAUCUUUAUGCUAACAGUGGGGACAAAUGCAGUGGCAAUUCAAUAGAACUAUUAUCCAUGUGCCUUGUGAUUCAGGACAACAGAAAUUUAAAUAUUAAAUAUAAAUAUUUGAGAUUAUUUCAUGUAAUUGGCUUGCUUAUAGGAUUUUUCACUUGUCUGUGAUGUCUCUGGGGGAUGUUGAAGUCACAAACAAAUAUGCUUUCAUCUUUCUGCUGAAAAUGUGAAUUUACAUCUUAACUGGCUCAUUGGUUCAUUUUAGCAAACUCCGAUUUGAGGGGUAUCUAUCUUGCAAUUUUAAAAUAUACACAACUAAACUUCCAUCUUUGCCCUAGAGAGAAGCCGGUUUAAAUACAAAGAUAGAAAACCCUAAUCCUGCAGAACAUGCACAUUUAAAAACUCCACCUUUUCCCCAAGCAGUAUUGCAGUGUGUAACAGGUAAUACUGCUUUACUAAAAUGUGCCUGUUUAAGCCAUUUGACUAUAAUAAAUUACUAAGUUUCUAAGACAAUCACAAAAAGCUAAGCCGGUAUUAAUGUUUGUGGGUCUGUUCAAAUAUACACCGCCGUUCUGCAGCGAUAUUUGUAAUGCCACAUCUUGUCCAAAUAUGUUGUUGUCUCUGACAAGGUUAGCAACAUGUAGAUGAAUACAAAUCCUUUCUAUAAAAAAAUUGCAAUGCAUUUUACAUAUCUUAAGAGGGCUACACCAGUUUUCAUUAUAUUUUACAGAUAUUAGCACUUUUUAAAGAAUGUACUUUUAAUAUUAGAGGGUCAAAAUAAUCUUUCUGCUUAGCAUCUCUCACCCGCAGCUAUAGCAGGGGUAUUAUAUUUACUUUAAUACCUGUAUAAACUAUGCAGAAAUUUUUAAAUAAAGUGUAAUAUAUUUUAUAAGCUAAUAAGACUGAAUGGGUAAUUAAAGGUUUCUAGCGUGCGUUACUAUAACUUGCAAAUACGGAGACAUUUUGUUAGUCUUUUCUUACUAAAGAUGUGAAUGUUUAACAUACUUUCACUGUUUCUACUUUGGUAGUCCAAUGGGAAUUCAGUAAUGACAUUUUGUCAUGUUGAACUGUGAACAUAAUUUGUACUGUACAGUCCUCAUGCUCUAUUUAGUAUACAGUGCAUAUGUAUUAUACUUGUUAAUAAAACCCUCAGUAUCAUUUGUGGUCCUGUCAUCAUGCGCUGUGCGACAGAGAGCCAUGGCACAGGGCAGGGUCACAGGGAUGCCCAGGCAUCCCUGCCUGCUCCAGGCAGUCCCCAGCUUUUCAGGUGGCCCUUCUGCAGCGUCGGUACACACCUCCCCUGGGUACUUGCCCCACACACCACCAAGGGCAGGAGCAGGCAGGACAGGAGCACAAGGCAUUGGAGGCUCUGCCUGUGAGCAAGUAACAAGCGAUAGAAGAGGUAAUGGCCUCAAGUUGCACCAGGGGAAGUUUAGAUUGCAUAUUAGGAAACAUUUCUUCACCAAAAGGGUGAUCAGGCAUUAGAACAGGCUGCCCAGGGAAGUGGUGGAAUCACCGUCUCUGGAAGUGUUCACAAACCGUGUAGAUGAGGCCUCAGUGACAUGGCUUAGUGGUGGACUUCGCAGUCCUAGGGUAACGGUUGGACUUGAUCUUACAUGUCUUCUCCAGCCUAGUUGAUUCUAUCAUUCUAGCUCCUGUGCCCAGCAGCGCACUUAGUGGUGAACUCACAAAAGUAGUAGUUUACUUGCUUCUAAUUAGAGCAUUCUGAUCAGCCCAUUGGCAGGGCUGGAGCACCAAACCCGUAAGUCUGCAUUUUUUAUCACUUGCAAAGCAGGGCCUGCUCCUUCCGCCAUGCUCUUCCCCACAGCGCUUGCACGGGCCAGGGUGCCGGAGCAGACACAGGCUGCCAACACAUCAAUGCACACGAAUACUGCUCACCUUCAGGCACCCCUAUGGGCUUUGCUGAGAGACGAUAAUGUGGAGAGCUGGCAAAACAAGUUCAUUUAUUUCUUCACACCUUUCCAGCUGCCUAAAAGGAGUGAGCCCAGCUGAAUUUGCUAUGCAUCUCUUCACACUUUCUGUUCCUGCAUCAGAAUGUUGGUCUGUUGCUGCCUGGGACCCAGCAGAUCAACCCAGUCAGCACCUAGGCUCAGAAGGGAAAGCAGGUACAGCAGAAAUGAGGCAAUAAAAAUAAAACCCUGCAAACAGCAAUCAGAAUGUGAGAAAAUGGCUGGCUUGAAUUUCUUGGCAUCCUGCUUGAAAAUAAGGAUUGCUUGUGGUAAAGCAAGAGUCAGCGUUCACAUCAUGCCAUUGAUUUCUAAAGUUCAUUUGCUGGCGAACCAGUCAGUAUCUGCGCUCCAGAGCAUACUCGGCC